UACGGAGGAUGCGAGCGUUAUCCGGAUUUAUUGGGUUUAAAGGGUGCGUAGGCGGGAUGCCAAGUCAGCGGUAAAAAUGCGGUGCUCAACGCCGUCGAGCCGUUGAAACUGGCGUUCUUGAGUGGGCGAGAAGUAUGCGGAAUGCGUGGUGUAGCGGUGAAAUGCAUAGAUAUCACGCAGAACUCCGAUUGCGAAGGCAACAUACCGGCGCCCUACUGACGCUGAGGCACGAAAGCGUGGGUAUCGAACAGG
RNAcentral lists this ribosomal RNA (252 nucleotides) under uncultured bacterium. RNAcentral's name for it is "partial 16S ribosomal RNA". It matches the Rfam family "Bacterial small subunit ribosomal RNA", at positions 524 to 776 of the family's 1533-position model. The record is from RNAcentral.